RNAcentral lists this transfer RNA (88 nucleotides) under Charaea flaviventris. Its description in RNAcentral is "tRNA-Ser". Lineage: Eukaryota; Metazoa; Arthropoda; Insecta; Coleoptera; Chrysomelidae. The record is from RNAcentral.
AGCUAAUGAACUUGUAUAAGUAUAUAUUUUGAAAGUAUAAAAAAGAAUAUUAAUUUUCUAUUAGCUUAUACUAAAAUUAAUUAACUAA